Ictalurus punctatus (channel catfish) is the source of this 4989-nucleotide long non-coding RNA. The record is from Ensembl. Lineage: Eukaryota; Metazoa; Chordata; Actinopteri; Siluriformes; Ictaluridae.
AAUUGGUGAAGGAGACAUUUAAGGAGUCUCGGGUUUCAGUGCUUUAUAACAGUCCGCACAGAGGACUUUGUGUUUUCUGGAUUCUUAGUAACAUCAAUUUGUUUUGUCUUAUUAACUUCAAGGGGAAAGAAAAAAACAGAGGCUGGUGAGGGAACAACCGUUUAUAGCUGCUAUAGUGUAAGUAACAACAGACACUAACUGAACAACAUGUCAUUCUUUAAUUAAUAAAACAAUGUAAUCACUGGUAAAUUGCUGUGGUGCAAGAGGAAUUAAACACCUGGGCAUAUGAUGGUAUAGAAAAAUGAACAACUUUGGGGGAUGCCGCAUCACAUCAACCCUGAUAAUUUUCCAAAAACAGCAUGCACCAUUGUGAUUUAUUCCUUACUUUAAUCCUAUUCUAGCCCUUCUUCAGAGCUCAGCUUGAGAGCACAGAACCUCUGUUGCCUGAAUAUUUUGAUCAAUAGUCUAUUCUCAUUGAGAUGUUUAAAAAGCCAUAACAUCCAUAAAGAUGAUAUUACUAGGUCAGUGUCACUGCUGUGGUGAGAGUUAGCUGGUUAGCAGUGGCCCCUUUCCACUGAUGGAGAAAGGAAGUUUGAAAAACUAUGCAUAGUAACAGAUUAAAUUCUAGCUCCACUCUGUACCGAUGAGGUUAGAUACAUACAAUGUACAUAAUAACGGGACAACGGGAGUGAAUGUUUCAACAUAAAUAUUUCAUAUUAAAAAUGAAGUAAAAAAAAAAUGUACCUCCUUGAAAUCCAGUGUAGAAGGUUCCACUCUCCAUUCUUGGUAGUUUGAUGAUGAAAUACAGAAACACCCUACAUUCAUCUAUAUGUUUUGAUCGGAUGAUUUCAUUCAUGGAGGAGUACCUGCAUAGAAACCCAGUAGUUGAUUGCGAUUAAACAUUUUAAUCACUCUGUGAUCAGCAGUGAUUUGUGAAUGUCAGGAAAUGUACAACACACCUGGCAGAUGCAAGAAGAUUUGCACUUGCUGAAUCCUCCCCAAAAUCCAUUUGAACUAGAAGAAUCUUAUCUGCACACUGUGUGCCUAGGAACUGCCUGAAAAGACAAUUUACAAACAAAUUAAAGAAAAAAUAAACACUUUCCCCUCCUGUGUAUAUGACCAUAGUGGAUAAUCUUAUACGUAGUGAGUGGAUAAGAUAAGUCACUGAGGGACAAAUUUAUACCUUAUUUUUUUGAGGAAGGAAAAUUCUGUCUCAAACUGUCGCAGUGACAGGUGAUCAAUGUUGGAAAUCCCUGUUUUGUGCUUAAGUUGCUUAACAUCUGCAGCUGUCAACAACCUUGAAAAAGUUGUAACCUUCACAAAGCACAUACAAUAAUAGUGAAUAAUCUACAGUAAAAACCCAUUGAAGAAUAAAAUUAAAUAUAGCAUGGGGAAAAAAGAGUUAAAUCCUACCUCUGUAAAGAUGUAAUGGUUCCGAUGCCCCUUUGGGAUAUGAGAGGCAAUGAAUUCUGCCAGAGAGUGGUGUUUCUGUUCCUUAAAGUAUGUAUUGAACAGUUGCUCUGUCUCUACAUCUGGCAAAUCAGUAUACUCCAACCGUACCACAGAAUCUGGGGUGGCACAAUUUAGUAAGACAUGCUUGGCUUCCAUUAACAGUUUGUCUUGGAUGUCUGCAUCCUCAAUGUCUUCCCUCAGUUUCUCCACUACUUGCAGUAUCACAGAGGAACAUGUAUCUGAAUGGUAACCAAUGAAAACGUCUUGUGGCAAGUACUUGUGUGAACGGGAAUGUUGAUUGACUGAAUUCACAAAAUGUCCGACCCAGAUCUGCAGUUGUUUGACAGCUUCUUUCUGACCACUCAUUAGGACACUGUUGAUGUCAAGGUAGUGUUUUUCAAGUCUGUUAAUUAGUGGAAUUGGGAAUUGUUUGUAGACCACAUCUUUCUCCUCAAUGACAAUAAGCCGGAAGUCUUCGUGUACUCUACACUUCACACGGUGUGUCCCAAGACCAAGAUCAACGUAUUUUUGACCACCCAGGAAAACAUAGUACUGGUUUAAUGCAUCAUACAGACUUUCGUAAAGAUUUUGAAGGUUUAAAAGCACAACAGUCUGGCCAGUUUCCAUGCAGAUCUUCACACGGUUGAUAUUCUUGCAGACUUGUGUGUACUCCUGAUCUUUAGGAAAACUUGAACCAAAGAUGAUCUCUGGAAGAUUGUUAUCCAUGAAGAUAUUUUGCUGAAGAAUUUGAAGGCCUGCAAAGUUCUUGGUUAGUAUAAGAAGGUAGCGACAGUCCUCAUUCUGAGCUUUGCCAGUGAUGUUUUGCCUUACCAAAUCGAGAGUACUGAGGUCAUCCAAGCAAGGUUUUAUGUGAAGUGUUUUGGCAAAGAUUUUCAGAGCAUCCACAUUAUCCAAGCCACUGAAAUUUCUCAACACUGCAUGAACAAUUUGCUCUGAAGAAAGAUAAGAAUCUCUGGAAAAAACAUACAGCAUCUUGAUUAAGCUGUAGUAAUCACGUAAGCCAAAAAAUCCUUUACCUUGCAUGCUGCAGAUCUGCAGGUAGGCAACUGCCAAAGGGUGGAAAAGAUGCUUGAUGUUUUCCAGGACCACUGGUUGCAAAGAACAAAUUCCUGUGGCUGUUUGAAUGAGUUCAUUCUGAUCUGGGUCGCCUCGGGAGACAAAGAUUCCCCUAUUCAUUUUGGCUGGGUCCAAAGCCCAGUUUGAGAUGCCAAUAAACCCAACUUUUUUAUGGGGUAGUGGGUCAUCAUCAAUGCAACCUUCUUCCAACAAGGGGUGAAGGGUUUUUAGAGGCAUUUUUGGGGAGUCUUCAGCUAGGCCUAUCUCAUCUAGCACAACAACAGAGACAUACUCUUUCAGAUUUUUCCCCUCUUGAAAUCGUGCACACUGUUUAAAUGUGUUAAUAAUUCCCUCUGCAGUUGAGUGAGGACUGCACUGGUAGGAUGUUAGGUGAAUCUGCUUCAAUUUUCUGUACAGUUUAGAGUGUGCAGCUUGGCCUUGCAUUGCGUCUGCCACUAAGGUCUUCGACAGAGACUUUGAGCUCCCAGGCUUACCAACUAAGAACAGUGGAAUACGCAGUUCAAUGCACACCACCAUCAUGAACACAUUUUCUUUCAAUGCCUUAUUUUUAGCAAUUGUACCACCUAGGGGUACAUCAUGUAGAAGAAGAUCCUGUAUUUGAGUGAUUUCUUGUGAUACAUUUUUGAGUUUGUUAUAGCUUGGGAAAAAUCUGCAGAGUUUUGUCCAAAAUUCCUUUUUCUUUUCCAAGCAUGCAUGAUAGCAUACUGCCACUGCCAUCAACAGAGCCCAUUCAGCAGGAUCUUUGUCAUCUAAAGAGAUUGUUUCACUCUUUGAUUGGUUUCGCUUCUUCUUCUGAUUCAAGAACUCUUCCAAUUCUUCAAAAAACAUUUCGUAAUUGGUGUAGAACCACUCAAAUACUUGCAUGCAGCGUUCAACAUCUCUCAAACUGACAAAGCUACAUUCGUCUUUUCUCUUCCUCAUGUAGCACUGUGAUGCAGAUAGGACAUCAGUCAUCAUCUUGAUAUAGUCUUUGUUGACUGACUUUUUUUCAACCACACUCUUAACAAUUUGAUUAAUGUACAUUUUUUCUGUGUUGUCAUCAAGCUGCCCAAAGUCCCACACUAAUGGAACCAUACUUGGGGGCAAUGCAUGAACUCUGUAUACCAGUUGACGGAGAGGAAUAGAGCCCAGUUUAUCCUGUGUCUGAUUAGCUUUCACGAUGUAUCCCAACCCUGCUCCUUCCAAUCUUUCAAUCAUCUCAUUUGAGUGUUUUCUGUAAGGAUUGCAAGCAGCAAUAACCUGUAGACCAGUUUGGGGUUGAAGUUUAUUCCCUUGCACAGAAUUGUCACAAAGCACUUCUUUCAGACAACUGAUUGCUUCAGUGGUAUUGGCUUCAUCAAAGAAAAUGACUGAAUCAAGGUCAUGUUUCUCUUUAUUCAAGCAUGCAAUGGACUCAGCUUCUUGUACUUUGGUAUAAAUUACAUCAGGAGUUGUGCCACCAUGAACCUUUACCAAUUUCAUAUUUUCUGCUGGGUUUCCACUUCUUUGCAGCUCACACAUAAAUUUGAUAAGUCUUGUCUUUCCACAACCAGUUUCUCCCAUGAUAAUGACAGGAAUGCCACAUCUGAACCUCAUGUGAAUUGCCAUCAUCUUCAAUAUAUUGUCCAUAGUGAGCUGGUAGGUCUCAUCAGGAUCUGAUGGCCAUUUGACUCCAAGAACACUGCACAAGUGCUCAAUCUUGUCACUUCUUGGUAAGUCAUCAAAAUUAAUGUUGAAAGGGACCUUGUUAUGCUGGAGACCAGUAUACAGCUGUUUUGUCAUAAUGUUCUUCCUUAUGACUCUGUUUGUUGAUGGAUCAAAGGCAUCAACGCCAUUCUCAGCAUUUAACCUGAGGUGGAAACCAAUGAAGGUCAUGGACUCAUGAUCAUCGUUGAAAAAGAUCGCAGCAGAUUGGGCAGAGGCCAGGCCAAGACCUCAUGGGAAUACUUUGAGAUGAUGGACAAAGUAUUGGGAAAAACAAAGAUUAAUCAGCACGAUCCUGCUUCAGCCACUCCUGUUGGAGUUGCAACCACAGCUAAAACAGCUGUAAAGUCUGAAGAGCACCAGCCACACAGUGUGUCAGUCGCUGCAGUGGCCACUCCUUGUUUGCUCCCUAGUGGCCUCUUCACCGCACCUUCCCCAGUUCCUACGCUGGUGACAUCCCCUUUGCUGUGUAACACAUCCCCAAAUCCAGACCCAAGCCCUGCAUGCAGCACUGACAGUUCCAUGCCCACGGUUUCCCCCAGACCUGCUUCCAAGAUCACAAGGCAGCCACUGAAACGGAGGUUUCUGCAUCUUCAGCUCGGCUCAGUGGGCUCUCGCAUUGCCCAGCAGCAGGGGCACGCAGGUGAGCGUACUACCCUUCUUCGCAAUUUCAUCACCAGUCAUGAAGAACGCGCACGCCUGGAUGAGCAGCGUCACCGCAAAAAUGACGCCCGUAAACGGCGCCAGGAAAGAACA